Long non-coding RNA from Choloepus didactylus (southern two-toed sloth), 1458 nucleotides. RefSeq lists it as uncharacterized. NCBI's taxonomy places the organism in Eukaryota, Metazoa, Chordata, Mammalia, Pilosa, Megalonychidae. The transcript is spliced from 5 exons. The record is from RefSeq and is a predicted model, not a curated record.
GUCCUGUCUUAGCAUAUCCCAGGGCGAAGUCUGGGCUUCAUCUUGCAGCUAACGUCCUUCUGUCAGCAUCUCCAAGCAUCUCUAAGCAUCAGAGCCUGGAGGGGAGGGGGUGGUCCCGAGACCCCACUGUCCUGCAGCUCACCUGCAGGGAUGGGGCAGCUAGGGAUGUUCCCCGUGGGAAAGAACCAGCUGGCGGACUUGGACUGGGGAGGGACUUUUGGGGGCUCUAAGGGGGGCUUCCUCCUGGGCUGGGGCUAUCAGGACGGGGUCGGGCUGUUGUGGCUGCACGUGGAUGGUGUGUAAGGUUGGUGCUCAGACAGCGUGGCCUCAAGCCCCUGCCCAGGGCCCCUUCCUGCCCCCCCCACCAGGGCUCCCCCAACCCGGGUUCCCCCCCUCACCCUUCCUGCUCCUCACCCUUCCUGCCCCCCUCCCAUAGCCUGGGCUGCCCCUGCUUGUCUGGCUGUACCUGGCCCCUGUUCUGGGAGACACUGGGUCCACCAUGAGAACAACGUGUCUUCCGGGACAGGACUUGUCUGCCUCCUCCUCCUGGGGAAGGCCGGCCACUCGCAGAGUGGGCCUUGCCUUUCGUUGACUUUCUGUGGUUGCAGGAGCUGGCAGAGUGUGUGGUGGCCAGUCUUUCUGGGACCACCAGUGUGGGGGGCUGUCCAGGCUCCCCACUGCUAAAGCGGAUGCCACACGACGGGCUGGCUUGACAACAGGAACUUACGGGCUCACAGUGGCAGAGGCUGGAGGGCUGGCUUCCUCCGGGGUCUCUGUCUUCUGGCUGUGGCCAUCCAUGGUCCUUGGCUUUCCUGUCACAUGGCGAUGCACAUGGCGGUGUCUCCUUUCCCUCCUGAGUCCACUGACUUCCAGUGUCCGGCUGCUCUGUGGCUGCAUUUUUGUGUCCACUUCCCUUGGCUUGUGAGGAUCUGCCCUUUGGAGCAAGGCCCCUCCUCCAGCAAGAGCACCUGGACAGCGGCAUCUUCCGAGUCCCGUCCACAGGUGGCUGUGGGGUGCCCAGGCUUUGAGGGCCUGAGCCCCAGGUGUGUGGGGUAGAGCAGCCAGGUCCGGGCUUCACUGCUGCGAGGCCCAGACAGUGCUGCUGAGGCGAAAUCCGCCCCUGAUGGAGCCCGGGGUCCUGACAUCACAGAGGUUUUCACCUGCUGAGCUCAACAACAGGGUGUGACCCACUGUUGUACAUGCAGCGAACUGGCCGAUGGCGGUGCCUGUGGGGAAGUUGAUCUUCAGGAGGUGCCAAUGGGGUCCAUCCACGGGGGACAGAGAACAGAUUCCAAAUACGGGACCGUCUCGCAGGUCAGAGCCCUGGAGAGGAGCUGGAAGGGCGGCGCUUCCGCGGGAAGGUGCUGACUGAUCUUCCUGCGGGGUAAGGCGAGGCCGCUGGAGCUGAACAUGGGGCUGAGACGGCAGCCGGGUGGUUUCCUCUCUCCACCGCGUGCA